This 254-nucleotide ribosomal RNA is filed under the name uncultured bacterium. Its description in RNAcentral is "partial 16S ribosomal RNA". It matches the Rfam family "Bacterial small subunit ribosomal RNA", at positions 524 to 776 of the family's 1533-position model. The record is from RNAcentral.
GACGUAGGGGUCUAGCGUUGUCCGGAAUCAUUGGGCGUAAAGAGCUCGUAGGCGGUUUGGCAAGUCGGAUGUGAAAUCUCCACGCUCAACGUGGAGGGGCCAUUCGAAACUGCCGUGACUCGAGUCCGGUAGGGGAGUGCGGAAUUCCAGGUGUAGCGGUGAAAUGCGUAGAUAUCUGGAGGAACACCGGUGGCGAAGGCGGCUACCUGGACCAGCACUGACACUGAGGCACGAAAGCGUGGGGAGCAAACAGG